UGAACGCUGGCGGCAGGCCUAACACAUGCAAGUCGAACGGUAACAGGAAGAAGCUUGCUUCUUUGCUGACGAGUGGCGGACAGGUGAGUAAUGUCUGGGAUACUGCCUGAUGGAGGGGGAUAACUACUGGAAACGGUAGCUAAUACCGCAUAACGUCGCAAGACCAAAGAGGGGGACCUUCGGGCCUCUUGCCAUCGGAUGUGCCCAGAUGGGAUUAGCUAGUAGGUGGGGUAACGGCUCACCUAGGCGACGAUCCCUAGCUGGUCUGAGAGGAUGACCAGCCACACUGGAACUGAGACACGGUCCAGACUCCUACGGGAGGCAGCAGUGGGGAAUAUUGCACAAUGGGCGCAAGCCUGAUGCAGCCAUGCCGCGUGUAUGAAGAAGGCCUUCGGGUUGUAAAGUACUUUCAGCGGGGAGGAAGGGAGUAAAGUUAAUACCUUUGCUCAUUGACGUUACCCGCAGAAGAAGCACCGGCUAACUCCGUGCCAGCAGCCGCGGUAAUACGGAGGGU
This 514-nucleotide ribosomal RNA is filed under the name uncultured bacterium. Its description in RNAcentral is "bacterial SSU rRNA". It matches the Rfam family "Bacterial small subunit ribosomal RNA", at positions 30 to 533 of the family's 1533-position model. The record is from RNAcentral.